RNAcentral lists this ribosomal RNA (444 nucleotides) under uncultured bacterium. RNAcentral's name for it is "partial 16S ribosomal RNA". It matches the Rfam family "Bacterial small subunit ribosomal RNA", at positions 354 to 796 of the family's 1533-position model. The record is from RNAcentral.
GUAGGGAAUAUUGGGCAAUGGUCGGAAGACUGACCCAGCCAUGCCGCGUGCAGGAAGACGGCCCUCUGGGUUGUAAACUGCUUUUAUCUGGGAAGAAAAAGGCCAUGCGUGGCAAAUUGCCGGUACCAGAUGAAUAAGCACCGGCUAACUCCGUGCCAGCAGCCGCGGUAAUACGGAGGGUGCGAGCGUUGUCCGGAUUUAUUGGGUUUAAAGGGUGCGUAGGCGGCUGAUUAAGUCAGCGGUGAAAGACUUCGGCUUAACCGGAGCAGUGCCGUUGAUACUGGUUGGCUUGAGUGUCGGAGGGGUACAUGGAAUUGAUGGUGUAGCGGUGAAAUGCAUAGAUACCAUCAGGAACACCGAUAGCGAAGGCAUUGUACGGGCCGACAACUGACGCUGAUGCACGAAAGUGUGGGGAUCGAACAGGAUUAGAAACCCGAGUAGUCC